UAGGUAAAUAGCCUUAGUAGCUUAAUAAAAGCA
RNAcentral lists this transfer RNA (33 nucleotides) under Scincella lateralis (ground skink). RNAcentral's name for it is "partial tRNA-Thr". The record is from RNAcentral. Lineage: Eukaryota; Metazoa; Chordata; Lepidosauria; Squamata; Scincidae.